GCUACGGGUGGCAGCAGUGAGGAAUAUUGGUCAAUGGACGCAAGUCUGAACCAGCCAUGCCGCGUGCAGGAAGACGGCUCUAUGAGUUGUAAACCUCUUUUGUCGGGGAGCAAGGCCCGCCACGUGUGGCGGGAAGGAGAGUACCCGAAGAAAAAGCAUCGGCUAACUCCGUGCCAGCAGCCGCGGUAAUACGGAGGAUGCGAGCGUUAUCCGGAUUUAUUGGGUUUAAAGGGUGCGUAGGCGGAAGGUUAAGUCAGCGGUCAAAUGUCGGUGCUCAACACCGGCCUGCCGUUGAAACUGGUCUUCUUGAGUGAGCGAGAAGUAUGCGGAAUGCGUGGUGUAGCGGUGAAAUGCAUAGAUAUCACGCAGAACUCCGAUUGCGAAGGCAGCAUACCGGCGCUCAACUGACGCUGAGGCACGAAAGCGUGGGGAUCGAACAGGAUUAGAUACCCUUGUAGUC
RNAcentral lists this ribosomal RNA (460 nucleotides) under uncultured bacterium. RNAcentral's name for it is "partial 16S ribosomal RNA". It matches the Rfam family "Bacterial small subunit ribosomal RNA", at positions 338 to 795 of the family's 1533-position model. The record is from RNAcentral.